GACAAUAACAUGGCGUCUACGAUUGCUGUGGAGGCUAGAGACAAACAACAUUUAACGAUUCAGUUCAAAUAACACUUGUUUAGUGUCACCCAAAGGCACGUAUGGGCAGUAUAUCUCCAUCGAUAAUGCUAUUUCAUACUUAAUUUCUCUGGUCUUUGAAUAACACCAGCACUCCAUGUCCGAAGGACCUCGGGCUCCCUGGUCGAAGAGGGGUUGCGUGGAGUCGCAUCGCCGAGAGCAGGGCAAGUACAAGCAGAGGAAAUGUGAACGGCCCUUCAGUGCAGUGAAGCCGAAGGUUGGCCAGGAGGCCUCGAAAAGGUGCCUAAUGGCAGGGGAUGUGGAAAUGUACCUUUCCCAAGUGCAUGACGGCAGCGUGUCCUCUGGCUUCCGAGCCUUGUAUGAGGAGCGGCUUUUGCUUGAUGUCACUCUGCUCAUUGAGGAACACCACUUCCAGGCACACAAGGCGCUGCUAGCAACGCAGAGUGACUAUUUCCGGGUCAUGUUCACGGCUGACAUGAGGGAACGUGACCAGGAUAAAAUUCACAUGAAGGGGUUGACGGCAGCAGGGUUUGGUCACGUCCUUCGCUUCAUGUACUACGGUUCCUUGGAGUUAAGCAUGCUCACAGUGCAAGAGAUCCUGCAGGCUGCCAUGUAUGUACAACUCACUGAGGCUGUGGAGUUCUGCUGCUCUUUCCUGCUGGCCAAGAUCUGCUUGGAGAACUGCGCUGAGGUCAUGCGGUUGCUUGAAGACUUCAGUGUUGGCGUGGAAGGUGUGCAGGAGCAGCUCGACGCUUUUCUGCUGGAGAACUUUGUGCCGCUGAUGUCACGACCGGACUUCCUGUCUUAUUUGAGUUUGGAGAAGUUGAUGGCAUACUUGGACAGUGACCAGCUGAGUCGAUUUCCAGAAAUUGAGCUGUAUGAGGCUAUGCAGGCCUGGCUGAGACAUGACCGGCGACGCUGGAGACAUACGGAUGCUGUAGUGCAGAACUUGCGCUUUUGCCUCAUGACUCCAGCUAACAUCUUUGAGAAGGUGAAGACAUCCGAGUUCUAUCGUUAUUCCCGCCAACUGAGGCUGGAAGUGGACCAGGCACUCAGCUAUUUCCAUCAGGUGAAUGAACAACCACUGGCUGAAACCAACUCCAACCGUAUCAGAUCAGUGAGACCACAGACUGCUGUAUUCCGUGGAAUGAUUGGCCACAGCAUGGUCAAUAGUAAGAUCCUCUUGUUGCAUCGGCCUAAGGUGUGGUGGGAACUGGAAGGCCCACAAGUCCCACUUCGACCAGAUUGUCUGGCCAUCGUCAAUAACUUUGCUUUCCUGUUGGGUGGUGAAGAGUUGGGCCCGGAUGGAGAGUUCCAUGCUUCUUCAAAGGUUUACCGUUAUGAUCCCAGACAGAACUCUUGGCUUCGUAUGGCUGACAUGUCUGUGCCAAGAUCGGAGUUUGCUGUUGGCGUCAUUGGGAAGUAUAUUUAUGCCGUCGCAGGCCGCACUCGUGAUGAGACGUUCUAUUCUACGGAGCGUUAUGAUAUCAUUGAGGACAAGUGGGAGUUUGUAGACCCAUACCCUGUAAAUAAAUAUGGGCAUGAAGGCACAGUGCUUAAUGGGAAGCUGUAUAUCACUGGUGGUAUCACCUCAUCUUCCACCUCAAAACAAGUAUGUGUCUUCGAUCCAGGGCGGGAAGGAACAUCCGAACACCGCACACGCCGUACACCCAUCCUCGCCAACUGCUGGGAAAACAAGUCAAAGAUGAACUAUGCUCGUUGCUUCCAUAAAAUGAUCUCCCACAAUGGGAAGCUGUAUGUGUUUGGUGGGGUUUGUGUGAUUCUGCGUGCCUCAUUUGAGUCCCAGGGCUGCCCUUCAACAGAGGUGUACGACCCAGAGACGGAUGAAUGGACUAUUCUUGCCUCAAUGCCUAUUGGACGCAGUGGGCAUGGAGUGGCAGUGUUGGACAAGCAGAUCAUGGUGCUCGGAGGACUUUGCUACAAUGGUCACUACAGCGACUCUAUCCUCACCUUUGACCCUGAGGAGAGUAAGUGGAAAGAGGACGAGUAUCCUAGAAUGCCUUGCAAACUGGAUGGGCUACAAGUGUGUAGUUUGCACUUCCCAGAAUAUGUUCUGGAACAUGUGAGACGCUGCAGCUGAGGCUGUUUUUGUAACUUCUAGACUGUUUGGGAAAAAACAUUUACAGGUGUGAAAAGUAAUACUAAUGAAGCUUUUAAACUGUAGGCCAGUGCUUAUUUAAGAAAAAAAACUCCUUUUUAGGCUUUCACUGUAGAAAGGAAGGUUUGUUGUUUGGUUAGUACUGUUGGUCAAUUUUCUGAACUGGCUCUCUCAUUAAAAACAUAUAAAUACAAAUCUUUUUUGGUCAUAAAUCUGACUCAUUGCACUGUAAUAAUUAUCCUGUAGAGCACAUAAUAUUUCUCAUGUUUCACUUCAUUGUCUUCUGAGAUGUUCUACUGUAUCCAUUCAUUCUGUUCACUGGUGUUUUACAGAAAGUUACGUUUGAUGCGUACAUAUUCCACUACAUAAAUCUAAGUUGUCUGCUACAUAUAGGAGCAAAAAAAGGAGACUAAAUGAAGUAGUUGUACAACUCAAAAAAAUAUUUUCAAAAUCCCUAGUUCUCUGUCUUUUUCUUUAACAUUUACUAAUCUAAGAAUGCAUUUGUGCUGAUACUAGUGAUGUUGUAGUGGAUUUUGACGAUAAUACUGACUAUGAUUGUAAUUCUGACGAAGAUGUUGACAAGCAUUGCACUUGUAUUAGGGCUUAUAUUACUGCUCUACAAUAACACCCAGUCCUCCACUGCUGACUGCCAAAAGAGAAUGGGGAGGGCAGAGUUUAUGGGACAUGUUCUCCAACUUCUACUGGUUGUGCUUAUGCUUAUUACUCUUUUAUUUUAUUAUUAUUUAUUAAAAUGGCAGAGCCUUGCCUUGAUCCAAACAGUGUAAUUUAAUGAGCUACUUUUUUUUGUACAGUAUGUGUCUCUCACUCUCAUAUUGUUGCAUGAGCAAAAGGGCUAAAGCACAUAUGCAUUUUGGUUAAUUUCUACUUCAUAACAGCAGUUCAGAGGCUUAUUCCACUCUGUAUUCAAAUCAAUUGUUUAAGCCUGAGCUUUGAUGAUGGUGUUUGGCACCAUGUAGUUUCCUGUUAUGCUUCAAAUCUUUCUUCUCCUCGCCCUACAUGUGAUGCUGUGUGUUGCUACAGAGUUCCUGAUUGGUUUGUACUUCCUCAGACACUUACUUUAUAUGACCUUUUGUCUCUGUCUUGUUUUUCUCAUCCAAAAUUCAUUAAUGUUUUUAAUGUCAUGUACAAAUAGAUGCCAAACUGUUGACUGUAAGGCCAAAGCUGUAAUAAUCUGAUGCACAGAUGUGUCGGAAGUAGAUUUGAACCUCUAAUCUUGUUAUCCUUUAGCUGAAUAACAGGCAAUUAUUCCACUAUAAUAAUCCAUAGCCCUGUUGUACUACACUCCACCCCAAUAUUGUUCUUGAGAGGAAUAUAAUCAGAUUGCUAAUGUGUUGUUUACCAUAAUCAGAUGGUUCACUGCUAUUUGGAGACUUUGUAACUAAUUUCCAGAAAUAAAUGUUCCUAUUGUCCAGCUCUCUAGUUUUUCUAACCGAGAUCAAGAAACUUAUGUGAACUGCUCCAUUAUUUUGAGUCUCUUUUACUUAGAAACAGCGUUUGCAUUUUAUGUACUAAAGUCAAAAGCUUUCUAUUGUUAUACAGUAGUUGUAAUGUUUUCUGCUCUAAACUAUUGUUGAGAUAUAAUCAUUCAAAUGCUGGUUGAGAAUUUUUGCUUUAGUGCAUUAAACUGUAAAUGUUGUUCUGGGUCAAACUGACUCAAAAUGAUAAGGUCACAUAUUAGUUUAACAUGAUGUGUUGCAUGUUUAUUUUUUAAGUGUACCUGAGCCAUACAUCUGUUCUUUAGAAAUCUGAUCAUACAGGUUUAUUCCUGUAAGAGGAUCCACUAGCAGGACAUAACCCUGAGCGUUUUCUUGAGCUAAUGUGACUAUAUCUGACAGAAAGCAACACUUUUGUGCUAUAUUCAGAAAGAAUGUUUUUGGAAGGUGCCUUCUUAGAGUUGUGUGCAUUGUUGGUCACUGAGGGGCUUUUGAAGUUCUAGAAAAUGAUUUGUUCAUAUGUGUUGAGAUUUAUUACUGCUUUUCAGCUUAACGUGUCAGAGAAGCCUGGGGAGGCAAAGAUGUGUAUGUGCUGCUCUCUAAGAUUGGUCCAUUCAA
This is an RNA transcript of Myxocyprinus asiaticus (Chinese sucker), 4230 nucleotides long. It is a transcript of the gene named kelch-like protein 15, with no coding region annotated. The transcript has 5 exons. Lineage: Eukaryota; Metazoa; Chordata; Actinopteri; Cypriniformes; Catostomidae. The record is from RefSeq and is a predicted model, not a curated record.